RNAcentral lists this small RNA (29 nucleotides) under Bombyx mori (domestic silkworm). RNAcentral describes it as "ovarian small RNA-4637". The record is from RNAcentral. Lineage: Eukaryota; Metazoa; Arthropoda; Insecta; Lepidoptera; Bombycidae.
CAACGUGUCGUCAGCGUAACAAAUUACGC